UACGAAGGGGGCUAGCGUUGCUCGGAAUUACUGGGCGUAAAGGGCGCGUAGGCGGAUAGUUUAGUCAGAGGUGAAAGCCCAGGGCUCAACCUUGGAACUGCCUUUGAUACUGGCUAUCUUGAGUUCGGGAGAGGUGAGUGGAAUGCCGAGUGUAGAGGUGAAAUUCGUAGAUAUUGGGAAGAACACCAGUGGCGAAGGCGGCUCACUGGUCCGGUACUGACGCUGAGGUGCGAAAGCGUGGGGAGCAAACAGG
This 253-nucleotide ribosomal RNA is filed under the name uncultured bacterium. Its description in RNAcentral is "partial 16S ribosomal RNA". It matches the Rfam family "Bacterial small subunit ribosomal RNA", at positions 524 to 776 of the family's 1533-position model. The record is from RNAcentral.